This 124-nucleotide ribosomal RNA is filed under the name uncultured Labrenzia sp. Its description in RNAcentral is "partial 16S ribosomal RNA". It matches the Rfam family "Bacterial small subunit ribosomal RNA", at positions 366 to 507 of the family's 1533-position model. Lineage: Bacteria; Pseudomonadati; Pseudomonadota; Alphaproteobacteria; Hyphomicrobiales; Stappiaceae. The record is from RNAcentral.
GGACAAUGGGGGCAACCCUGAUCCAGCCAUGCCGCGUGAGUGAUGAAGGCCCUAGGGUUGUAAAGCUCUUUCAGCGAGGAGGAUAAUGACGUUACUCGCAGAAGAAGCCCCGGCUAACUUCGUG